This 884-nucleotide ribosomal RNA is filed under the name uncultured bacterium. RNAcentral describes it as "bacterial SSU rRNA". It matches the Rfam family "Bacterial small subunit ribosomal RNA", at positions 9 to 873 of the family's 1533-position model. The record is from RNAcentral.
AGAGUUUGAUCCUGGCUCAGGAUGAACGCUGGCGGCGUGCUUAACACAUGCAAGUCGAACGGUGAACACGGAGCUUGCUCUGUGGGAUCAGUGGCGAACGGGUGAGUAACACGUGAGCAACCUGCCCCAGUCUCUGGGAUAAGCGCUGGAAACGGCGUCUAAUACCGGAUAUGACCUGCUGCUGCAUGGUGGUGGGUGGAAAGGGUCCUGCUUUUGUGGGGUCUGGUGAGGGAUGGGCUCGCGGCCUAUCAGCUUGUUGGUGGGGUAAUGGCCUACCAAGGCGAUGACGGGUAGCCGGCCUGAGAGGGCGACCGGCCACACUGGGACUGAGACACGGCCCAGACUCCUACGGGAGGCAGCAGUGAGGAAUAUUGCACAAUGAGCGAAAGCUUGAUGCAGCGACGCCGCGUGGGGGAUGAAGGCCUUCGGGUUGUAAACCUCUUUCAGCUCUGACGAAGCUGCCUGGUUUUCUGGGUGGUGACGGUAGGGGCAGAAGAAGCGCCGGCCAACUACGUGCCAGCAGCCGCGGUAAGACGUAGGGCGCAAGCGUUGUCCGGAUUUAUUGGGCGUAAAGAGCUCGUAGGCGGCCUGUCGCGUCAACCGUGAAAUCCCGUGGCUUAACUGCGGGCGUGCGGUUGAUACGGGUGGGCUAGAGUUCGGUAGGGGAGACUGGAAUUCCUGGUGUAGCGGUGAAAUGCGCAGAUAUCAGGAGGAACACCGGUGGCGAAGGCGGGUCUCUGGGCCGAUACUGACGCUGAGGAGCGAAAGCGUGGGGAGCGAACAGGAUUAGAUACCCUGGUAGUCCACGCCGUAAACGUUGGGCGCUAGGUGUGGGGGACCUUCCCGGUCUUCUGUGCCGUAGCUAACGCAUUAAGCGCCCGCCU